CCGAUCAUAUCAAAACACAUGAAGGUAAGAGACCUAAUCAAAAUCAAAACCAAAAUCAAAACUAAUAAAGCCGAUUCACAAAUAAUUGAAAUCAAAUCAAAACACAAAAGAAACAACCCAAAUCAGAAAUUAAAUGCACAAAUAUCUGCUCCAUAUUAGAACACCCAAAUCAGAACACAAUAUCCACUACCGAACACAACCAGAUCGGAAAUUAAAGGUCGGACACAUUACACAUCCACUAUUGGCGCCGGACACUGAAAUCGGAACACAAUAUCCAAACCAGAUCUAUAUUCUUCCAACCAAAUCCAAUAAAAUAUAGAGAACUUAGAAAAGAAAUAAGCAAAACACUGAAAUCGAAAGAUAUACAGGUGACUGUGAAAAAUCCCAAUUAGAAAUCAAAGACCCAGAUGAGAGAAGCGAGUAUUUUUCUGGAGCAUGUUCUUUGGUGGCGGAAUGAGCGUUCAACUGGAGAGCGAGAGCGACGUUGGAGGCGAGAGUGUGUGCGUGUAGGUGAGGGAGUCGUUCGGAGAUAUCAAGGGGAGGGAGCCUCAUGCGUAAAUCUUGGAUUGAACGGGAGAUGGAAGAAACAAAGAAACACAUAUGAAGAAACAGAUUUGAUCCUCUGUUUUGAAGAAACUGAA
RNAcentral lists this long non-coding RNA (641 nucleotides) under Panax ginseng (ginseng). RNAcentral's name for it is "long non-coding RNA (PGIN_LNC014197)". The record is from RNAcentral. Lineage: Eukaryota; Viridiplantae; Streptophyta; Magnoliopsida; Apiales; Araliaceae.